Molecule: ribosomal RNA, 371 nt
Filed under: Priolepis dawsoni
Lineage: Eukaryota; Metazoa; Chordata; Actinopteri; Gobiiformes; Gobiidae
Description: partial small subunit ribosomal RNA
Rfam family: Bacterial small subunit ribosomal RNA
Source: RNAcentral
UCGCCAGGAGACAACGAGCGCCAUAGCUUAAAACCCAAAGGACUUGGCGGUGCUUUAAACCCCCCUAGAGGAGCCUGUUCUAGAAUCGAUAAUCCCCGUUAAACCUCACCCUCUCUUGUUCAUUCCCGCCUAUAUACCGCCGUCGUCAGCUUACCCUGUGAAGGCCUAAUAGUAAGCAAAAUUGGCACAGCCCAAUACGUCAGGUCAACGUGUAGCGUACGAGAGGGGAAGAAAUGGGCUACAUUUACUGAACCAGUAAAUACGGAUCUUGCACUGAAAUAAUGCUUGUGAAGGAGGAUUUAGUAGUAAGAAGAGAAUAGAGUGCUCUCCUGAAACCGGCCCUAAAGCGCGCACACACCGCCCGUCACCCU